GACGUACUCUGCUUCUUCUGGUCGGAGACAUUUCAAUAGGGGUCCUGAGAAAGACCUUUUGUAUAAUUUCCCGUUGAAUAUGCAAAAUCUUGCGGAUCUGUACUGGAGACGGCGAGCUUGGAGUUUUUCUUUUGGUAAGAUACCAUCCUGGAGAUAGGCAAUAAUUUCGUCCAUCCACGUCGGACUUUCUUCCGCUUGGAGGACCUGAUUGGUGAUUCCAAUGCUUGGGCUAGCUAAAAAUUCCAGAGGCA
RNAcentral lists this long non-coding RNA (251 nucleotides) under Actinidia chinensis (golden kiwifruit). RNAcentral's name for it is "long non-coding RNA (ACHI_LNC004792)". The record is from RNAcentral. Lineage: Eukaryota; Viridiplantae; Streptophyta; Magnoliopsida; Ericales; Actinidiaceae.